GAUGAACGCUGGCGGCGUGCCUAAUACAUGCAAGUCGAGCGAACGGACGAGAAGCUUGCUUCUCUGAUGUUAGCGGCGGACGGGUGAGUAACACGUGGAUAACCUACCUAUAAGACUGGGAUAACUUCGGGAAACCGGAGCUAACACCGGAUGAUAUUUUGAACCGCAUGGUUCAAAAGUGAAAGACGGUCUUGCUGUCACUUAUAGAUGGAUCCGCGCUGCAUUAGCUAGUUGGUAAGGUAACGGCUUACCAAGGCGACGAUGCAUAGCCGAAGGGAGAGGGUGGUAGCCGACCCUGGAAGGGGAACGCGCACAAGAGUACUGAGGGAGGCAGCAGUCGGGAAUGGGAGGCAGUAGGGGGAAACAUGACGGAGCAGGGCCGCGUGAGAGGUGGAAGCCUUCGGAUCGUGAAGCUCUGUUAUUGGGGAAGAACAUAUGUGUAAGUAACUGUGCACUUAUUGACGGUACCUGGUCAGGAAGCCACGGCUAACUACGUG
Molecule: ribosomal RNA, 497 nt
Filed under: uncultured bacterium
Lineage: Bacteria
Description: partial 16S ribosomal RNA
Rfam family: Bacterial small subunit ribosomal RNA
Source: RNAcentral